GAUGAACGCUGGCGGCGUGCUUAACACAUGCAAGUCGAACGGUGAAGGCGGAGCUUGCUCUGCUGGAUCAGUGGCGAACGGGUGAGUAACACGUGAGCAAUCUGCCCCUGACUCUGGGAUAAGCGCUGGAAACGGCGUCUAAUACCGGAUACGAGCUGCGAAGGCAUCUUCAGCAGCUGGAAAGAAUUUCGGUCAGGGAUGAGCUCGCGGCCUAUCAGCUUGUUGGUGGGGUAAUGGCUCACCAAGGCGUCGACGGGUAGCCGGCCUGAGAGGGUGACCGGACACACUGGGACUGAGACACGGCCCAGACUCAUACGGGAGGCAGAAGUGGGGAAUAUUGCACAAUGGGCGAAAGCCUGAUGCAGCAACGCCGCGUGAGGGACGACGGCCUUCGGGUUGUAAACCUCUUUUAGCAGGGAAGAAGCGAAAGUGACGGUACCUGCAGAAAAAGCGCCGGCUAACUACGUG
This 468-nucleotide ribosomal RNA is filed under the name uncultured bacterium. Its description in RNAcentral is "partial 16S ribosomal RNA". It matches the Rfam family "Bacterial small subunit ribosomal RNA", at positions 28 to 507 of the family's 1533-position model. The record is from RNAcentral.